This 253-nucleotide ribosomal RNA is filed under the name uncultured prokaryote. Its description in RNAcentral is "partial 16S ribosomal RNA". It matches the Rfam family "Bacterial small subunit ribosomal RNA", at positions 524 to 776 of the family's 1533-position model. The record is from RNAcentral.
UACAGAGGUCCCAAGCGUUGUUCGGAUUCACUGGGCGUAAAGGGUGCGUAGGUGGUGGGGUAAGUCGGAUGUGAAAUCUUGGAGCUUAACUCCGAAACUGCAUUCGAUACUGCCGUGCUUGAGGACUGGAGAGGAGACUGGAAUUUACGGUGUAGCGGUGAAAUGCGUAGAGAUCGUAAGGAAGACCAGUGGCGAAGGCGGGUCUCUGGACAGUUCCUGACGCUGAGGCACGAAGGCCAGGGGAGCAAACGGG